UGCAACCGUGUCCUACGUGGCACAAGACGACGUCGUUUGUAUUUUGAAUUAGACAAUCCGUUUUCCUGCAUAUUUUGCAUUUUCACAUUUCCCUCCUUCACUUUCUCCCACUCGAUCCAGACCCUUCUCCGCAUUCCCAUCCUCCCCAUUCCCUUCUUCUUCCUCUACUCUGCUUCGGUCAGCAUCGAAACGAGUAAGCCGUUCCUUCGCUUUGCUUCGGUCAGCGUCGAAAUGAGUAAGCCGGUUCCGGAUUUCACUUUCUCUCGCUCGAUCCAGACCCUGCCGUCUUCUCCCCAUUCACAUCGUCUUGGUCUUCUCCUCCAGAGCCACGAAGUCGGUUCUUCUUCUCCACCAUAUGGGAAAUCUGAAGCCUUCAGAGCAGGUGGUGAAUGCCGGAAAAGAGUCCUUACAAUGGGGUAGAUGAAAGGUAUAAAUUCUUUGCAUGGGCAGAUAUACUACAGUUGCUAGAAGAGAACAUUUUAUUAAGAGAGACUAAGGCUAGGAAGACGUGGGAUGAUGUAUUAAAAGUAGUGGAAUGAAUUUCCAUUUGAUGUGCAUUGGAUUCUGAGUUGCUGAAAUUCAGAAAUGUGUUGUACUGCUUUUAUGUGGUGUAAAUGUGAACUGUAACUGCUAGGUGUUGGAAUUGAUUCUCUUUCUUCUUAGGGUUGGAACACAAACUAGUAACCAUGUUGGUGCUGGUACUAGUACUGGUACUCAAAUGCUUGGAAUUGAUUCAAUUUUCUUGAAAGCAAAAUCUACCUUGCACUUUUUCUAA
Juglans regia (Persian walnut) is the source of this 775-nucleotide long non-coding RNA. RefSeq lists it as uncharacterized. Lineage: Eukaryota; Viridiplantae; Streptophyta; Magnoliopsida; Fagales; Juglandaceae. The record is from RefSeq and is a predicted model, not a curated record. The transcript is spliced from 3 exons.